Molecule: long non-coding RNA, 407 nt
Filed under: Homo sapiens (human)
Lineage: Eukaryota; Metazoa; Chordata; Mammalia; Primates; Hominidae
Description: non-protein coding lnc-PRSS1-4:1
Source: RNAcentral
CACAAGGUUUGAUACAAGAAAUUCUUUCUCCACCUUCUAAACAUUACAGUGCUUAACUCCUACAUCCUGUUCAAGAAGGAGAAUUCUGAGCACACGGUUUGCCAUAGAAACUUCAGACUGACAUUGAUUAAAAGGAUGCUGAAAAAGCAUCGUGAGCCAGGGCAGCAACGUCUCUGGGGUCGUCCACGCUCUGAUGAUGUCACACCUCUUGGCCCACCUGGAAGACAUUUUCCCAACAGCAUUACCACCAUCAAAGAAACAAAACCCAACUGGUCACUGCACUUUUGCUGCUCACACAAUGACGAGGAUGGCAAGAUCUAUAGAGAACGGCAAUAUUUUUGUGCGGAAUGUGAUGUUUCACUUUCUGUUGUUCCGUGCUUUGAAAUUUUCCCACACGAAAAAAUUAU